GAUGAACGCUGGCGGCGUGCCUAAUACAUGCAAGUCGAGCGAACGGACGAGAAGCUUGCUUUUCUGAUGUUAGCGGCGGACGGGUGAGUAACACGUGGAUAACCUACCUAUAAGACUGGGAUAACUUCGUGAAACCGGAGCUACUACCGGAUAAUAUUUUGCACCGCAUGGUUCAAAAGUGAAAGACGGUCUUGCUUUCACUAAUAGAUUGCUCCGCACUGCAUUAGCAAGUUGGUAAGGUAACGGCUUACCAAGGCUACGAUGCAUAGCCGACCUGAGAGGGAGGACCGCCACCCGGGAACUGAGACACGGUCCAGACUCCUACGGGGAGAAGCAGUAGGGAAUCUUACGCGAGGGGGGAAAGCCGGACGGAGGAACGCCGGGGGAAGGAUGAAGGUGUUCGGAUGGGAAAGCUCUGUUAGUAGGGAAGAACAUAUGUGUAAGUAACUGGGAACAUCAUGACGGUACCGAGACAGAAAGCCACGGCUAACUACGUG
RNAcentral lists this ribosomal RNA (497 nucleotides) under uncultured bacterium. RNAcentral's name for it is "partial 16S ribosomal RNA". It matches the Rfam family "Bacterial small subunit ribosomal RNA", at positions 28 to 507 of the family's 1533-position model. The record is from RNAcentral.